Molecule: ribosomal RNA, 559 nt
Filed under: uncultured bacterium
Lineage: Bacteria
Description: bacterial SSU rRNA
Rfam family: Bacterial small subunit ribosomal RNA
Source: RNAcentral
CGGAACGUGCCCGAUCGUGGGGGAUAACGGAGCGAAAGCUUUGCUAAUACCGCAUACGAUCUACGGAUGAAAGCAGGGGACCGCAAGGCCUUGCGCGGACGGAGCGGCCGAUGGCAGAUUAGGUAGUUGGUGGGAUAAAAGCUUACCAAGCCGACGAUCUGUAGCUGGUCUGAGAGGACGACCAGCCACACUGGGACUGAGACACGGCCCAGACUCCUACGGGAGGCAGCAGUGGGGAAUUUUGGACAAUGGGCGGAAGCCUGAUCCAGCCAUGCCGCGUGCAGGAUGAAGGCCUUCGGGUUGUAAACUGCUUUUGUACGGAACGAAAAGCCUCUUUCUAAUAAAGAGAGGUCAUGACGGUACCGUAAGAAUAAGCACCGGCUAACUACGUGCCAGCAGCCGCGGUAAUACGUAGGGUGCAAGCGUUAAUCGGAAUUACUGGGCGUAAAGCGUGCGCAGGCGGUGAUGUAAGACAGAUGUGAAAUCCCCGGGCUCAACCUGGGAACUGCAUUUGUGACUGCAUCGCUGGAGUGCGGCAGAGGGGGAUGGAAUUCCGCGU